Molecule: ribosomal RNA, 300 nt
Filed under: uncultured eukaryote
Lineage: Eukaryota
Description: partial 18S ribosomal RNA
Rfam family: Eukaryotic small subunit ribosomal RNA
Source: RNAcentral
CCCUUAGAUACCCUGGGCAACACGCGUGCCACAAUAGAAGGUCUAGAAAGUUCCUGAGCAUAGUUGUUUGGGUAAUCUAAGAUGCCUUCUGUGACUGGGAUUGACCUUUGUAAUUAUAGGUCAUGAACGAGGAACCCCUAGUAAGAACAAGUCAUCAGCUUGUCCUGACUACGUCCCUGUCUCUUGUACACACCGCCUGUCGCUGUCUAUGAUACAUAUCUCGCUGAAACUUUAGGAGGUGGGCGUUGCUCGCUGAAUUUGGGUGAAUCGAUAUAUGCAGAAGAAGCAGAAGUCAUAACA